AACGAACGCUGGCGGCAUGCCUAACACAUGCAAGUCGAACGAGACCUUCGGGUCUAGUGGCGCACGGGUGCGUAACGCGUGGGAACCUGCCCUUAGGUUCGGAAUAACUCCCCGAAAGGGGUGCUAAUACCGGAUAAUGUCUUCGGACCAAAGAUUUAUCGCCUUUGGAUGGGCCCGCGUUGGAUUAGCUAGUUGGUAGGGUAAAAGCCUACCAAGGCGACGAUCCAUAGCUGUCUGAGAGGAUGAUCAGCCACACUGGGACUGAGACACGGCCCAGACUCCUACGGGAGGCAGCAGUGGGGAAUAUUGGACAAUGGGCGAAAGCCUGAUCCAGCAAUGCCGCGUGAGUGAUGAAGGCCUUAGGGUUGUAAAGCUCUUUUACCCGAGAUGAUAAUGACAGUACCGGGAGAAUAAGCUCCGGCUAACUCCGUG
This 432-nucleotide ribosomal RNA is filed under the name uncultured bacterium. RNAcentral describes it as "partial 16S ribosomal RNA". It matches the Rfam family "Bacterial small subunit ribosomal RNA", at positions 29 to 507 of the family's 1533-position model. The record is from RNAcentral.